CAUGCAAGUCGAACGAAGUAGCAAUACUUAGUGGCAGACGGGUGAGUAACAUGUAGGUAUCUGCCCUUUGGCCUGGAAUAACACGAGGAAACUUGUGCUAAUACCGGAUAAGUCUUUACGGAGAAAGCUUUAUGCACCAUUGGAUGAGCCUGCACUUGAUUAGUUUGUUGGUGGGGUAAUGGCCUACCAAGACUGUGAUCAAUAGCUGAUUUGAGAGGAUGAUCAGCCACAUUGGGACUGGGACACGGCCCAAACUCCUACGGGAGGCAGCAGUGGGGAAUCUUGCACAAUGGAGGAAACUCUGAUGCAGCGAUGCCGCGUGAGUGAAGAAGGCCUUUGGGUUGUAAAGCUCUUUCGUCGGGGAAGAAAAUGACUGUACCCGAAUAAGAAGGUCCGGCUAACUUCGUGCCAGCAGCCGCGGUAAUACGAAGGGACCUAGCGUAGUUCGGAAUUACUGGGCUUAAAGAGUUCGUAGGUGGUUGAAAAAGUUGGUGGUGAAAUCCCAGAGCUUAACUCUGGAACUGCCAUCAAAACUUUUCAGCUAGAGUAUGAUAGAGGAAAGCAGAAUUUCUAGUGUAGAGGUGAAAUUCGUAGAUAUUA
RNAcentral lists this ribosomal RNA (600 nucleotides) under uncultured Alphaproteobacteria bacterium. RNAcentral's name for it is "bacterial SSU rRNA". It matches the Rfam family "Bacterial small subunit ribosomal RNA", at positions 54 to 699 of the family's 1533-position model. The record is from RNAcentral. Lineage: Bacteria; Pseudomonadati; Pseudomonadota; Alphaproteobacteria.